RNAcentral lists this ribosomal RNA (786 nucleotides) under Alternaria alternata. RNAcentral's name for it is "eukaryotic LSU rRNA". The stretch from base 443 to 596 matches the Rfam family "5.8S ribosomal RNA". Lineage: Eukaryota; Fungi; Ascomycota; Dothideomycetes; Pleosporales; Pleosporaceae. The record is from RNAcentral.
AAAGAUUGAGAUUCCAUGAUUUAUGCAAUUCACACUACUAAUCGAUUUGGUGUUCUUAAUGAUGCCAGAUCCAGAGUCCGUUGUGAAAGUGAAAUUAUUAAUUUGUACGAGCGAUGCAUUACAGAAGUUGAUGAUUUACCGAGUAGGAACCCACCAUGAUAUCAAGCGUUCCGAAAAGGCAAGGAGAUAAUUCAGCAAGCUGUAACCCGAGAGUUCCAGCCCGCCUUCACAUUUGUGUAAUGAUCUUUUUCCGUAGGUGAACCUGCGGAGGGAUCAUUACACAAAUAUGAAGCGGGCUGGAACCUCUCGGGGUUACAGCCUUGCUGAAUUAUUCACCCUUGUCUUUUGCGUACUUCUUGUUCCUUGGUGGGUUCGCCCACCACUAGGACAAACAUAAACCUUUUGUAAUUGCAAUCAGCGUCAGUAACAAAUUAAUAAUUACAACUUUCAACAACGGAUCUCUUGGUUCUGGCAUCGAUGAAGAACGCAGCGAAAUGCGAUAAGUAGUGUGAAUUGCAGAAUUCAGUGAAUCAUCGAAUCUUUGAACGCACAUUGCGCCCUUUGGUAUUCCAAAGGGCAUGCCUGUUCGAGCGUCAUUUGUACCCUCAAGCUUUGCUUGGUGUUGGGCGUCUUGUCUCUAGCUUUGCUGGAGACUCGCCUUAAAGUAAUUGGCAGCCGGCCUACUGGUUUCGGAGCGCAGCACAAGUCGCACUCUCUAUCAGCAAAGGUCUAGCAUCCAUUAAGCCUUUUUUUCAACUUUGACCUCGGAUCAGUAGACCCCGUCGU